RNAcentral lists this ribosomal RNA (1149 nucleotides) under uncultured organism. RNAcentral describes it as "bacterial SSU rRNA". It matches the Rfam family "Bacterial small subunit ribosomal RNA", at positions 119 to 1298 of the family's 1533-position model. The record is from RNAcentral.
GAGAAUCUGCCUUGGGGUCGGGGACAACCACUGGAAACGGUGGCUAAUACCGGAUAAGCCUUUGGGUAAAAAAUUUAUUGCCCCAAGAGGAGCUCGCGUCUGAUUAGCUAGUUGGUGAGGUAAAAGCUCACCAAGGCAGCGAUCAGUAGCUGGUCUGAGAGGACGAUCAGCCACACUGGGACUGAGACACGGCCCAGACUCCUACGGGAGGCAGCAGUGGGGAAUUUUCCGCAAUGGGCGAAAGCCUGACGGAGCAAGACCGCGUGAGGGAGGAAGGCUCUUGGGUUGUAAACCUCUUUUCUCAGGGAAGAAGCUCUGACGGUACCUGAGGAAUCAGCCUCGGCUAACUCCGUGCCAGCAGCCGCGGUAAUACGGAGGAGGCAAGCGUUAUCCGGAAUUAUUGGGCGUAAAGCGUCCGCAGGUGGCGAUUCAAGUCUGCUGUCAAAGCACGGGGCUUAACUCCGUUAAGGCAGUGGAAACUGAAUAGCUAGAGUGCCGUAGGGGUAGAGGGAAUUCCCGGUGUAGCGGUGAAAUGCGUAGAGAUCGGGAAGAACAUCGGUGGCGAAAGCGCUCUACUGGACGGCAACUGACACUCAGGGACGAAAGCUAGGGGAGCGAAUGGGAUUAGGUACCCCAGUAGUCCUAGCUGUAAACGAUGGAUACUAGGUGUAGCUUGUAUCGACCCGAGCUGUGCCGAAGCUAACGCGUUAAGUAUCCCGCCUGGGGAGUACGCAGUCAAGUGUGAAUCUCAAAGGAAUUGACGGGGGUCCGCACAAGCGGUGGAGUAUGUGGUUUAAUUCGAUGCAACGCGAAGAUCCUUACCAGGGCUUGACAUGUCCGAGAAUCCCGGUGAAAGCUGGGAGUGCCUUCGGGAGCCGGAUCACAGGUGGUGCAUGGCUGUCGUCAGCUGUUGUCGUGAGAUGUUGGGUUAAGUCCCGCAACGAUGCGCAACCCUCGUCUUUAGUUGCCAGCAUUAAGUUGGGCACUCUAGAGAGACCGCCGGUGACAAACCGGAGGAAGGUGGGGAUGACGUCAAGUCAGGCAUGCUCCUUACGCUCUGGGGGACACACGUACUACAAUGGUCGGGACAGAGGGCAGCGAACCUGCGAAGGCAAGCUAAUCCCAGCAAACUCAGGCCUCAGUUCAGAU